Molecule: ribosomal RNA, 1789 nt
Filed under: gut metagenome
Description: bacterial LSU rRNA
Rfam family: Bacterial large subunit ribosomal RNA
Source: RNAcentral
UCACUAGUCAAGAGAUUUUGCGUGGAAAAUGUAACGGGGCUAAGUAUCGAACCGAAGACAUGGAUUUGUAUUUUAUACAAGUGGUAGAGGAGCGUUGAUAUCGCGGCGAAGUCGAAUUGUAAAGUUCGGUGGAGCGUUAUCAAGUGAGAAUGCUGGAAUCAGUAACCAUAAGACAGGUGAGAAUCCUGUCGGUCGUAAGAGCAAGGUUUCCAGGGCUACAGUAAUUGUCCCUGGGUUAGUCGGUCCUAAGCCGAGGCGCAUCAGCGUAGGCGAUGGACAGCAGGUUAAUAUUCCUGCACAGGUAGUAGUUGUUGACAGUUCACGGCGAAUGACUGGAGCGGAUUAAUGGUUUAUCCGUCCAAGGCUUAUGGGAACAUAGGCCGAGUGAAAGGUAUUCUUCGGAAUAUCGAUUUCAGGUGAAGCGCUGGCUAGAAAAGCUGGUCAACUUAUGCUGCUGCCUACCGUACCGCAAACCAACACAGGUGCUCGGGUCGAGUAGACCAAGACCUACGAGAGAACCUUCGCUAAGGAACUCGGCAAAAAAGCGUCCGUAACUUCGGAAUAAGGACUGCCCUCUCAUUAAGAUGAGGAUUUGCUAAAAAGAGUUCUCGGCGAACGAGAAUGAAAAAUGGUGUUGUACCAAAAUUUCAAGAGAACGUUGUCGAGACACAACUAACUUUUUAGCAGCUCAAUCGUCGUUUUGAUGAGAGGGCCGCAGCUAAAGAGCCCACGGAACUGUUUACCAAAAACAUAGGUCUCUGCUAACGCGAAAGCGGAUGUAUAGGGGCUGACUCCUGCCCAGUGUCGGAAGGUUAAGGGGAGAACUUCACGGUUCGAACUGAAGCCCCGAUGAACGGCGGCGAUAACUAUGAUCGUCCUAAGGUAGCGAAAUUCCUUGUCUGGUAAGUUCAGACCUGCACGAAUGGAGUAAUCAUGUGGGCACUGUCUCGGCGAAGGCCUCGGUGAACGUGCAUUGGCGGUAAAGAUGCCGUCUGAUCAUGCCAGGACGAGAAGACCCCAUGGAGCUUUACUACAACUUUGCAUUGAUUGUUGGGACAUUUUGUGUAGCAUAGGUGGAAGACUUUGAAGCAGAUACGCCAGUAUUUGUGGAGUCGUAGGUGAAAUACCACCCUGAGUGUUUUAGUAAUCUCACGCUUGACAUUAACUGCCAAGCGGACCGUGCAUGGCGGGUAGUUUAACUGGGGCGGUUGCCUCCUAAAGAGUAGCGGAGGCGUUCAAAGGUUGGCUAACUACGGAUGGAAAUCGUAGUGAUAGUGUAUGCGCAAAAGCCAGCUUGACUGUGAGGGCUACAACCCAAUCAGACACGAAAGUGGGAGCAAAUGACCCGCUGUAUAGAACUUCGGUUCAAUUUACGUGGGAAAGACAGCGCACACGGAUAAAAGUUACCCUGGGGAUAACAGGCUGAUCGCGCCCAAUAGUUCACAUAGACGGCGCGGUUUGGCACCUCGAUGUCGGCUCAUCACAUCCUGGAGGGGGAGCACCUUCCAAGGGUCCGGCUGUUCGCCGGUUAAAGUGGUACGCGAGCUGGGUUCAGAACGUCGUGAGACAGUUCGGUUUAUAUCCGGCAUGAUCGUUAGGAAUUUUGAGGAGAUUUGUCUUUAGUACGAGAGGACCGAGAUGAACGAACCUCUAGUGUAUCGGUUGUGGCCACCUGCUGCAUCGCCGAGUAGCUAUGUUCGGAAGAGAUAAGCGCUGAAAGCAUAUUAAGCGCGAAGCCCACUCCAAGAUAAGAAUUCCCUAUGAAGUCCCAGAGAGAAGAUCUGGUUGA